This 776-nucleotide non-coding RNA is filed under the name Drosophila virilis. RNAcentral's name for it is "Eukaryotic large subunit ribosomal RNA". It matches the Rfam family "Eukaryotic large subunit ribosomal RNA", at positions 1 to 647 of the family's 3401-position model. The record is from Rfam by way of RNAcentral. Lineage: Eukaryota; Metazoa; Arthropoda; Insecta; Diptera; Drosophilidae.
CAACCUCAACUCAUAUGGGACUACCCCCUGAAUUUAAGCAUAUUAAUUAGGGGAGGAAAAGAAACUAACAAGGAUUUUCUUAGUAGCGGCGAGCGAAAAGAAAUCAGUUCAGCACUAAGUCACUUUGUCUAUAUGGCAAAUGUGAGAUGCAGUGUACGGAACAUCAACAUUCUAGUAUGAGAAGUUAACGAUUUAAGUCCUUCUUAAAUGAGGCCAUUUACCCAUAGAGGGUGCCAGGCCCGUAUAACGUUAAUGAUUACUAGAUGGUGUUUCCAAAGAGUCGUGUUGCUUGAUAGUGCAGCACUAAGUGGGUGGUAAACUCCAUCUAAACUAAAUAUAACCAUGAGACCGAUAGUAAACAAGUACCGUGAGGGAAAGUUGAAAAGAACUCUGAAUAGAGAGUUAAAUAGUACGUGAAACUGCUUAGAGGUUAAGCCCGAUGAACCUGAAUAUCCGUUAUGGAAAAUUCAUCAUUAGAAUUGUAAUAUUUUAAACAAUAUUAUAAUAAUAGUGUGCAUUUUUUCCAUAUAAGGACAUUGUAAUCUAUUAGCAUAAAUAUUUAUCAUAAAAUUAUGUCUGAUUGCUUAUUUGAAUUAUAUGCUUGGCAUUUUAACAUAAAAUAAAAGAUAUAAAUUUGAUAAAGUGCUGAUAGAUUUAUAUGAUUACAGUGCGUUAAUUUUUCGGAAUUAUAUAAUGGCAUAAUUAUCAUUGAUAUUUGUGUUUAUUAUAUGCAUUUGUAUGAUUAACAAUGCGAAAGAUUCAGGAUACCUUCGGGA